Molecule: transfer RNA, 548 nt
Filed under: Rosa chinensis
Lineage: Eukaryota; Viridiplantae; Streptophyta; Magnoliopsida; Rosales; Rosaceae
Description: sRNA RchiOBHm_CPg0502391
Rfam family: tRNA (bases 345-415)
Source: RNAcentral
CGCAAUUUGAGAUUCAAAUUUACGAAUCAUUCAUGAAUUAUAUAUACGAAUCAUUCAUGAAUUAUAUAAUAGUUAACGGUUCCAGUUUGUGCUGAAUUUUUUCUUUUAUGACUGAAAAAUCAAAAUUUUGUUUUUCACUAGAAAAGUAAGGGAAAUUUUUAGAGAUUGUAUGGUUUUAAGAUACUAUACAAUCAAUCGAAGGGAUGGAUCCAACUCAAACAAAAAAGAAAGAUUUCUUUUAGAAAAGGAAUUAAGGAAAACGGGAUUAAGAUUCAAAAUACAAGUACAAUAAAUAAGAAGACAAAAGGAUAAUUUUUUGAUAGAUUUUGAUUUGGUAUCGUUUUGGCGGCAUGGCCGAGCGGUAAGGCGGGGGACUGCAAAUCCUUUUUCCCCAGUUCAAAUCCGGGUGUCGCCUAAUCACCAAAAGAAUUGACAUACCUUCUUCUGUUUUGCUGAUAGAAUUGGGGAAAUUUUUCCGGCGGAAGCAAACGGAGGAAACUGAUAAAUCGUGAUAGUCCUUCCAUUACUAACGGAGUGUCUACGGGCCG